This 173-nucleotide long non-coding RNA is filed under the name Mustela putorius furo (domestic ferret). Its description in RNAcentral is "lncRNA (ENSMPUG00000030548.1)". Lineage: Eukaryota; Metazoa; Chordata; Mammalia; Carnivora; Mustelidae. The record is from RNAcentral.
ACUCAAUCUUCAAUGAUCUGUUCUGUAUUCUUUCUCUGCCUAGUUUCACUGUGUUGCAAUUGAUGAACUUUUGGGAAUUCCUAGCCAAUUGUCUACUUAUUUUACUUUGGCCAGAACUGCAUCAAAUGACAACUUUCUAGAGGAAGGUAGACUGUGAGUAUAGUUAUGUUUAA